AAGUCGCCGUUGGUGUACAAACCAAGAGGACGGAGCGGGACGACGGGGAGGGUUAAGAUGGUGCGUUGGGACGUCGGCGCUUUGUCGCGGUCACGGGGCUGUCAAUCACCGGUGAUAGGAGACGACACAUUAAUCUCGCGGAGACCCCGUUGACCGCAUCCUCUUCUCUCCCCUUGCGGUUAAAUAGUCCCCACAAUUCUGUCUGCCGCUUAGCAGCUGUACAAUCGUCUUUUUAAUCCUUUUUUUGCCCCUUCACUCUAGCAACACUUUAUCAUUUCAGAAAAUCUAAAACAGCCGGGAAAUAUAUUUUAAUCUCGUUCUAAGCGACAUGAAGAGAUUUUCAAGUAAAUUAUGACGAAAUUAUAGAAAAUUAUGACAAAGUUAUGUACAAAGUACUUUUAUGCAAAGCAUUUCCGAUCACUGUACUUUCAUUGACCUGAAAAUUCUUCGAUCAAUCUUGAAUCAAUUUUCUUUAUAAUAAAUUUGCUAAAAAUGUCUUUAAAUAUCUAAUCAUCAAUAUCUUCGUGAAAGGAAAUGUAUGAAGUUAACUGAAUAAAGUACCUCAUAGAAUUCCUACGUGCGUAAAAUUCUCAGUUUUGAAUACUCAUAAGUUAGCUUUUCCAUUCGAAGGGGAAUGCCCUUUUGACUUGUUUCCAAAAAGGAGGGAAGUGGAAAGUUUUCGACUUGACAGGCCGAUCACGAACAGCGACGCUUGCAAAAACUGACCGCGACUGACAAAUGCGUAAGAAAGAGCAACUGGACGUCUUUACAGAUGAAAAACGGACGUCGGGGUUAUCUGUAUUAUUAAGUGGAACGUUUCUCGGAAGAAUGGCGCCAUUUGUUUGCCCCGAUAUCGCGGAGACUAAUCCGCGUUUCGCCAGACUACACCGGACGAGAAAAAGGUGUCAGCCACUCAUUUUUCAAAAUUACAUUACUGUAUCUCUAAAUAUGCAAUUCACACAUAUAGUGAUAUUGAUUAUACAUUAUAAGUUAUUAAUAUUAAUACAUUCCUAAUUCUAAAAGAGAAUUAAGAAACCACCACGAAAACAAAGAGAGAUUUUAUAAUAAUAAAUAAUACAAUAAAAAUUAAGACUUUCUCUUAAUUUCUUAAAAUACAUAAUAUUGUUAGUUUGACGAGGAAAAUUAUAAAAGCUAUAAAUUUCAAAUCAACGUCGCUCAAUCUAUUCACUUGCUCUCUUGUAGCUUUCCUAUUUUAAUCGUAGAAAAAAAAGUAUUAAUCGAUUUAAGCCGUGGAUAAAGUUAACAGACGUCGGCGAAACCGGUCAUUAGGCAAAUGAAAUUCGGAGUCACACUUGGCGCUCAGUCGCGGCGACUAAGUGAGAAAAUAAGGGCCGACUUACACUCGAGCGCGAGCGAAGACGGAAAGCACUCUCUCUCGAUGCUCGGGCUUCGUUCAACGGCACAUUAUCUCGCGGCACUCGAAUUUCAGGGCAAACCGCCAAGGUGGGAGUAAACUCGAAAGAGAUUUAUCGUCCCGGUCUCACUGAGGACGACGCGUCGUCCUCGCGAACGGCGAUGCAACUCGUCCGCCAAUUCGUGGCCCACCCAGCUGAUCGAUCGCAUAUCGCGAUAAACGCAUUAUUUAAUUACCACGAGUAAUUACCGAUUAUUACACGGCGCGGGCUGUCCCGGCGCAAUGUCCGCCAUUAAUUACAGCGAACGAUCACGGCCGAAACGCUCGUUACGCAGCACUCUUUAAUCGGCUCGGUUCUCCUCUCCUCUCCUCUCCUCUCGUAGAGGCACUUCCGCAGUGAGACCGCGCUCUCGAUCAUGAUUCUCGUCCAUCGAUCGAUUACGAUCGAUUACGCGCGGAUUACGGUGAUUCAUAGUGAAACUGACCACAGUAGAGUUAGAUCACGAUCAUAUUGUGCUUGUUAAUAGCGGGAAAGUGCAAGUUUGCGCGGACGGUUAAUAGAUUUUUCGAAAUCAGUUCAAGCGCUGCUAGAAAUAAGUACUUCGCUCGUUAUUUAGGCGGGAAUAAAAUUUUAUUACCUUAUUAUAAAAAUAGAGAUAUAAAGACCAACAUAAUUCUGUACAGUAAUAAUAAAACAUUUUGUGUGUUACGAUAUGAAAACUAAAUUUAUUAAAAUCAUAAAAGUCGUUCUAUCUCCCAUACCGACUCGUUUUCGAUUUCUGUCUGAUUACUUCGUCGCGACGUGUAUUUUUCAUCUCGAAUCUCAUCGGGAGGAAUCUUCGGCCGCGCGGCUCCUCGAGAUAAUUCGACGUUAUCGCGAGGGUAAAUAAGCUCGCAUCUAUCCAGGGCUGCGCUAAUAGAUUCCCCCAGGAUGCUGUAUCUCGGGAUAAAUGCCUCCCCCAGCGACACCGUUCAUCAUAACCGAAGUUGGACAGGCUAGCGAGGGCCGAGGGGGUUAAAGGGACGCGGCAAGGAUGGAAACUUGGUACGAUAGAGAGAAACGGAGCAGAUAAGAGAACUCGACAAUCCGUGCAGCGUCCGAGGUGGUAAUCAGAGAUCCCUCCUCGUCGUUCGUCCGUGGAAGCAACGGGACUGGGAAUCGACCGAGAAAAGGAGGGGGAGCCCUACGUUUCUCCUGACGGAGGACGAGAGACAAAUAACGUUUGCGCGUCGACUAGAUUGAGAAGCUCGAGGUGUCAGUGAAUGUACAUUAAUCUGUAUCAGCCGGCGCCAUCAAUAUUUAAUCCUAAUCCCGAAAAUUGCUGCGCGAGCAAGUAAGACCGAGAACUAUGGCGCGCCGAUGGGACGCGAUGUCCUUCCGUCGAUGUCAUAUUCGGUACGCGACUGUUCCUUUGAAUUUUCCUCCAAUCUCAUUUUGUAUAGCGUACGAAAAGUUCAAACUUCGUAUCAUUAACGUUCCGAUUAAUGAAAUAGAUAACACAGUGAUUUAAAAAAUUACAUUUUUUUUACACUUUUUAAAAUUCUCUGUAUAUCAUCUUUGAUGAGUACAUCAUCUGAGAAGAACUAAAAUUAGAAGAGUCUAUAUAUUUUCAUAAUUGACGUUUUACAACCCUGCGAUUGCACGCGUUUACGUCUCCAUACGGGGAGAAUAUUUCUUACACGCCAGAAAACCUGACGGGAUUACAUCGCACGGCAUACGAAAACGUGUUUGCAAUUUUGAACGACGCGUUUCUGCCAACGACGGCCCCUCGCAAGGCGUCGUCGCGACAGGCGUCUUAACCUGACGUAGUGCGUGUCGUCGUUACCGCGGCCGGCAGUGAAAAUGGUUUGUGUGCCAGAAAGUCGCCAGUAAGUUAAACAGCGGCCGUGGCACCGAGGCGUCGUAAAGCGCCGCGGCGCCUUCGUGUUUACGCGGCGACGUCGAGGCCCACCAACCGCGUCCGGUCCAACCCGUUCCUCAUUCCUCUCGCGCCCUCCGUCUCUCGUCUCGCGUAUGCAUCGGCUCUCUCGUCUCGCUCGCCCUCCCUGCCCUCGACGUCGCGGUCCGCGGUCCAGGUUCCCUCGCUUAUUCCACAUCUAUUUUCGCGCGCGUGACAAAUCUGUAUGCCCGCCGGAUUUAUCGAGCGACAUUCUGGCCGUCGUACGCCCGUCGUGCCCAUAUGGCAGAGCCCGGCAGCUAUUUCCGUCGUCCGGUGCACUUUGCUCGCUCCUUCGACAAGUGUUCCUACCUAUCGACGGGAUAAUCGAGAGGCUGAAUUAACCACGAACAUUAUUGGGUAAUUUAUUAACAACGCUGAUGUGUGUAAGGAAUUAUGUGGUGUCGUUAAAAUCUUUUUUAAUUGCAGUCCAAUCCUCGAUAAAGUUAUAAAAAAUUUUUGAUACAUAUCAAUAUUCAUAAUCAUCUAAAUACUCAUUGAUCGAGAGGAAUGUAAAUGUCCUCAGACGUAAAUGACUGCAAUCCUCCUUUAAAAGAUUUUGUCUAAUAAAUAUUCUCUCACUAUAUACGCUCAAACAAAAAGUGUCUGUUGUUUAUACAUAAGAUGUCAAAUAUUGGAACACUGUGGACAUCAAUAAUUAAAAUACUAAAUACUACUAAAUAUAUACAGUGUUUCUUUACAGCUUUCGCUUAGUAUUUUCGGAAGUACAAUAUUUCAUCGGUCUCUUAAGUGCAAUGCAGAAAUGUAUGCAGCGGCACAGCCUCCGCGUGCAAAAUAGCAAGCAGGCCAUCUCCGCCGUUCGGGCGCGUUAAUGGACCAGUGUAGCGAUUUCGGAGACGGGGAGAGUUUUCGCGUGUAGAACACGAUGACGAUGAGACAAUGAUGCGGCACAGCGGGACCGACGCGUCACACCCGAUGGAAUUUCGAGGAGCAUCACGAUGAGGACGACCUCGUCAUCUUUCUUUCGGCCGCCAAACCGGACGAUGAUUUAUGAGCGUGUAUUCCGUCGCGGGAAUUUGUCAGUCCGUUUCUCGACGCUGCCUAUAGGUGUUCUCUCACCCAUCCGAUAUCGAUCUUCUUUUUAUGCACAAAUACAUACGCGCUACGUUUGUAUGCAUAUAGAUGUGUAAAUUGAAGUCCCGGCGAGACGAGCGAGAGCAGCAUGGAUGGCUAUGGUCUUUCGUUCCCUUCGCGCCGAGAAAAAGUGGUAGAGUGGGAGGAAGGGUGCAAUAGGGUGAUCGGAGAUCGGCUUAUGAUAUAUCGCCAUUAACAUUUGUUUCGUAUUAGAACAAAUACUUGCGUAUUUUUAAGCUCUAAAAGACGCAUCUCAAUGUUCUUGAUAGAAUAAUGAAACCCCACGAUGAAGUUUUCAAGAACGAUCACGCACGUUUAAGACAAUAAUGGAAACCUGAUUCAUAUUAGUUGACGUGCUUUAUAUAAAAAAAUUCUGUUAAUUAAAAUUUUAAUACAGUAUUUUAAUAUAGUAUCGUAUAACAUUAUUAACUAUUCUUGUGUCAAAAUAUUUGGCAUCUGUAUAAUCAAAAAUCUUUGCAAAACAUCAGCUGCAAAGUUCAUAAAAUAUGUAUUAAAUGUAAAAUAUAAAAAUCUUAAGAUAAAAAAAAUGUUAUUUUAUAAUUUUCCAUAUUUUUUUUAGUUAUUUCGAGAACAUAAAUAAAACUGUAACUGUUCAAGCAUUAACAAACUAAGCAAAUUGCAAUGUCUGAAGAUUUUUAAUUUUCAGAUGUUUUUGUGAUAAAACUGAAAAUAGAAUUCUUAAAAACUAACACAGUCUCAUGAAACAUCACUAUCGAGGUCUGUAAUGAGGGUUCGGAUAAAUAAUUGCGAGUGCGUGUUUCACUGGAAUGGAAGGUAAAUCAUCCCCUGUCGCCUGGUGGAGUUCGGUCACAGGCCGAUGCGAAACAAAGACCGCGACAGGGGGUGGGGGAGGGGGCGAGUGCAACCCCCGCUCGUUCACGGCCGCCGUAAUUCACAGUUUGGUGGCGCGUUUAUUAACGGCGGCGCGGCGUUACUCCGGGCUACGCCUUUUUAAUGAUUUAUCGUGCACGCGCCGAGAUGUGCGUAGCCCUUUUGCGGGCCAAAGUUCGACGUCUUCGUCGGGGCCCCGCGGGGCCCUUUCCCUCCUUCACCUUCCGCCAGCUGCCGAUCGGUGAGAAGUGCAGAUGGAGGCGCAGAUGUUGCGUUUCAACCCUGUCACCGUUCGUAACUACACGGUUCCUCUUCUUGUUGUCGAGAGACGUCUUCCUCCUCUUAGCGUUAGGCGAAUCGUAAAAUUGGAUAUACCGACAGCUUUUCUGCCAAUUUCCUUUUUCCGUUCUCGGAUAGACCUCAAAACUAUUGUCCAAGAUGUGAAACGACGGCAAACGAGUUAAAAAAGAAUAAAUUACAAACAAUUGAUAAUAAGUUUAUUAUCGUGUCUGGACGAUCGACUGUUAUAUAAGGAAAUAUCGAUCUAAGAUUGAGUAAUCGAGGGUUAAUCAACGGGGACAAUCAAGUGUUGUUUUCUUUUAACGUGACUUCAUCGUGAUGCGCGAUACUAAUCGCCUCUGUCAAUGCGCUCGGCGGACCGAUCGCGGCGAGUUCUUCUUGGCGAAGGUUGAAAUGAGCCUCGCGUGGAUACAGCGAGCCGAGUAAUAAAGGAUACCACUCAUUAUCGACGGAGUGUAAUCGAUGGCUUUAUGACUCAGGUUCCGCCGCGAUGUGUACGCUCGGCACAGUAAAAAGACGUCGGAUAAACCGAAUACUGGACAGACGAUAAAGCGCGGUGAAAAACGUUUAAUUGGACUAGAUUGUGGAGAUGGUCAGGGUGGCUGGAGCGUAGAUGACCGGUUCGCGCAGGCACGUAAAGUAUUGAAGGCGAACUUCGGAAAAUUCUCUCUCUCUCUCUGCCUCUCGCCAAGCCGUACGCUAAAUUGCUCCCCCGGUGUAUUACCAGGAAGGGCGGACGGAAUUUAGAGUACGCGUAUCCUCUUAUCGUCGAGGUUACGCCGCGGCGGAAAGAAGGUCGCUAUAUACUCGACAUCGAGGCUUUAAUCGCGUAACUGUACCCCGCCGUCCGUUCUAACCCUUCAUUAGGCGCGCAUCUACUUUCCGUGAUUUUUUAUUUCAGCGACCUGCCGCCGCCCGUACCGCUCUCCCGCUCACCGGCGCGGAUAUCGUAUGUACGUAAAACGCGGCUUAAGUUAAUCCGCGUGUAAUGAUCUCACAAGGUUACUCCUCGAUCGUUCCCCAUGCUGAUGGCGCGUGCGCUUCAUCGUACUAGGGUAGUACCUGAGGUAGAUAUUACAAUGAUUCCUGAGGUACGAAGAGAGAGAGGGAGAGAGAGAAAAAGAGAGAAUAUUAAUAUUAAUAUUUUGCUCUUGUAAAAAAGGUUGAGCUUAAAAUAAUCUGCUAAUUUUCUGACAAGAGACGUGAAAAUGGAAAACGAUUUUCGACUACCAUCAAACGUCAGGCAGCCGAAGCCGAAUCUCAUCAAAUAGGUAAAGAUUUUACAAGAUAAGCUUUAUAUGAAUAUAAUUUUACGUUUAAAGCAAAUUCUCUUUUUUUCUCAUUCUCUCUUGAAAUUGACACUACGAUCGGACUUCGGACGCUUCACAUAUGCGAUACGCAUCUCUCGCGAGCACGGGCGGCCCAGGAAGCCAUCUUGUUAAACUCCAGGGAUUUCCGGGCGAGGACGAAAGGAUCAUUAGCGUCGGGCCGGAUUCAUCGCUCAUACGCGAGUUCCCGCGCGAUGAAAACUGCAUGGAGAAGAGACAGACACGUCCCGUCCCGUCGAUAUAAAUAAAGUAUCGAAGGGAUGGACACACUUCGGCUCGUCCGAACACAACGACGAGCCAAAUGAAAAAUGCCGAGACGGCCGAUCAAUGUAAAUAUAUUCAUGACGUGGGGUGGCCGAGCGGCCACAGGGAUGCCGGGAUAUACACGCGUGUACGCCGGGGUUUUAUAGGAUGGGGUCCGCUGGAGGACUCGAUGGCACUUGGACGGCACAUAAUUCACUCUUUGGCAGCUCAUUACAAUUUAAAAAGGCCUUUGUCAGUGCACUACUCGUGAUUUCGUUCACGGUCUCGUGGCCCUCGCGCAUCGACGCAUUUUUCGGUGGCAGCUAACGAUGCUCUACUUAGUUCGCUCGACACAUGUUAAAUUUUCGAUAUAAAAUGAGAAACACAAUUUAAAUCCGAUUACAUGAUGCUAAGAGCUUGAGCCGAAGUAAAUCAUCCAAAUUCGGUAUUUUUGAUAUUUAAACUAUUACAAAUAUAGCGUGUAUUAAAUAUAAUAUUUAAGAUCUUAUAAUUUUAUAUUUUUCAUGUUUGAAAAUUUUCUAACAAUUACUUAUUAGAAAGAAGAAAAUAACGCUAUACUCUUGUGACAGUGCACUUUUUUACGUGCGCCACAUCUCAAAUGUAAUCUAUUUAAUUAUAUUCGUUAUUUUCGACAAUAAUUCCGUCGUUACGCGUGAUCGACUUUUCGACCACUAUGAAUGCGUAUCACAGAUUAUUAUCGUAAUCAUUGACGGAUCAAUAAUGACAAGUUCGUUUUCUCCCGUCUACGAAACCAGUUUUAACAAAAAGUGUUGACGGACGAGAUUUCUAAUUUAAGUCAUACGUAUGACUAUGUCGAAAGAGAAAUAAAACUAUGUUCGCGUUUUUAAAAUUGACUUCGGCCUAUUACAGUCGUCUUCUGAUAUCGAUAACUUUGAAUUAAUGUACAUAAGAAUAUAUGUUAAUUUAUGAUGCAAAAAUACGAGACAUGUAGUUAUCGUUAUGUCAAGCAAUCAAUAUUUUUCUUAAUGAUACAGUAAAAACGUGCGUAUUAAUUACGUGAACAAUGAAUUUGUUUUCGACAUUUGUUAUGAUAUUCGAUAUCGCAGUAAGUUUAUGAAAAUUUCUGUUUUAAAACGCGAACAGUUAUUGAUAUAUGAUAUAUUCAAAACGAGUAUAUAACAAUAGUAACAGAUCCAUUACUCUUUUCUCGAUAUUCAUAUUCCUGCGAUGCCGCGCAAAAAUAACAAGCCCGCAGUUUAAUGGCUAAUUGGUUACGCGCAAACUUAAAAGCGCGCGCUGCAAAAAUUUAUGCAAAAUUCGGCUAAUCGGCGAGCAACCGACAAGUGUUUGAGCGCACGAUUAUCUCGUUGAUUACGCACCUCGCUCGCGUUUUAUGCCUUAACACGUUUGUUAAUCACCCUAAUCCGCCUUCGACGAGCAUUCGCGAACCCGGCAAUCCGGCGAGAGAAUAAUUACUACGUACGCCGGUUCGCAACGUGCGCCUUUUUUGCGCAACAGAACGCGCGCGAGAGAUUGCGACACCUCUUGUUCCGACGUAACGCGGAGAGUCGAAGCGGGGUGGAAAGAAAAAAAAAAAAAAAA
Molecule: long non-coding RNA, 8714 nt
Filed under: Monomorium pharaonis (pharaoh ant)
Lineage: Eukaryota; Metazoa; Arthropoda; Insecta; Hymenoptera; Formicidae
Description: uncharacterized LOC118647822
Source: RNAcentral